AAAGACACCCCCGUGAUGGCUAACUCGUUAGCUUUUAGCAGCAAAAAUCGGUUUCCCGGUUUCAAAGAGGUGCGACUCGUCCCGGGGAAACACGACAUCUCCUUCGUGGAGUUUGAGAGCGAGACGCAGGCGGGCGUGGCUAAAGACGCACUGCAAGGCUGCCGAAUCACAGCCACCUGCGCCAUGAAGAUCACGUACGCCAAGAAGUAGUCCCCGAGUUCAGUCGCUGGACACACAGAGACUCUGAGGGGGAGAAAGGGGGAGAUGGUCCCUGGAUUACCGUCGGGUUCCCACAUUGAUUUUUGUAAAUCAUACACAGCUGUUUGUUUUUUUUUCUUUCUACUUUUUGUGAUUUGUUUGGUAAAAUUCAGUCCCGUCGUUCACGAGGUCGAGCAGAUAAUCUCUGGCCUACAUCUUGUUUUGUAAAAUAAAAGGCUUUUACAUAA
Long non-coding RNA from Sander lucioperca (pikeperch), 446 nucleotides. RefSeq lists it as uncharacterized. Lineage: Eukaryota; Metazoa; Chordata; Actinopteri; Perciformes; Percidae. The record is from RefSeq and is a predicted model, not a curated record. The transcript is spliced from 2 exons.